CUAACAGGAGCCAGCCUGUGCUGAGGAGGCCUGAGGAGGACGUUGGGACUCAUCUACGCCGAUGAGCUGCAGCCUCCUCAGGACCCGCGGAGAGUCUUCAGGGGGAAAUUGGGCUGCGUUCACGCUGACAGGACCCACGGUCUCCUCAGGACCUGCGGUGAGGCUUUAGGAAGAUGUGGGCCCGCAUCCACACUGACAGGAGCCCUGAGCCACCUCAGGAACCGCGGGGAGGCUUAGGAAAUUGUGGGCCCGCAUCCAUGCUGACAGGAGCCCCUGAGCCACCUCAGGACCUGCGGGGAGGCUUCAGGAAGAUGUGCCGCGUCCACUCUGGCAGGAGCUCCUGGGCCCCUCAGGACAUAAGUUGAGGCUUCUGGAAGCUGGGGCCGCAUUCAUGGUUACAGGAGCCCCGGCCUCCUCAGAACACUCGGUGACGUUUCGGGAGGAAUUGGGGCCACAUAGACACAACAGGACGCUGACUUCCUCAGGAUCACUGGUGUAGAUUUGGGGAAAUAUGGGGAUGCGUCCAUGCGGACAGAAAACCCCAGGCUUGUCAGGGCCUGUGGUGAGGCCUAAGAAAAAUGUGGGUGCCGCAUCCACACUGACAGGAGUCUCCAGCCUCCUCAGGACCCACUGUGAAGGUUUUGGAAGAUUUGGGGCCAUAUCCAUGCUGACAGGAGCCCCCAGCCUCCUCAGGAUGCGCGGAGACCCGGCGUACUCAGGACCCGCUGACUAUGACUCUGGAACACGUGGGGCCACGUGCGCACUCACAGGAGCCCAGCUUCCUCAGGACCCCCUAGGGGACUCUGGAGGGCCUUUGGGGGGCCCCGUCCACCUCAGAAGGGACUACUCAGAACCACAGGGUAAGUGAAUGGGUAGAAUGAAUGAUAGGAUCAGGGGAGGGGAGUCAGUUGGUGGUUAGGCUUAGGUUAGAUGUUAGGGGUUAGUGAUUAUGCUUAUGGUUACGGAUUAG
RNAcentral lists this long non-coding RNA (970 nucleotides) under Canis lupus familiaris (dog). RNAcentral's name for it is "lncRNA (ENSCAFG00000054160.1)". Lineage: Eukaryota; Metazoa; Chordata; Mammalia; Carnivora; Canidae. The record is from RNAcentral.